GACGAACGCUGGCGGCGUGCCUAAUACAUGCAAGUUGAGCGCUGAAGGGUGGUACUUGUACCGACUGGAUGAGCAGCGAACGGGUGAGUAACGCGUGGGGAAUCUGCCUUUGAGCGGGGGACAACAUUUGGAAACGAAUGCUAAUACCGCAUAAAAACUUUAAACACAAGUUUUAAGAUUGAAAUAUGCAAUUGCAUCACUCAAAGAUGAUCCCGCGUUGUAUUAGCUAGUUGGUGAGGGAAAGGCUCAUCAAGGCGAGGAUACAUAGCCGACCUGAGAGGGGGAUCAGCCACACUGGGACCGAGACACGGCUCACAACACUCAGGGCGGCAGCAGUAGGGCAUCUUCGUUGAGGGAUGAAAGUCCGAACGGGGAACGCCGCGUGAGUGCAGAAGGGUUUCGGGUCGUAAAAUUUGUGUGGUAAAGCAGAAACUUGGUGAGAGUGGAAAGCUCAUCAAGUGACGGUAACUACGCAGAAAGAGACGGCUACCUACGUG
RNAcentral lists this ribosomal RNA (497 nucleotides) under uncultured bacterium. RNAcentral describes it as "partial 16S ribosomal RNA". It matches the Rfam family "Bacterial small subunit ribosomal RNA", at positions 28 to 507 of the family's 1533-position model. The record is from RNAcentral.